CCUACGGGAGGCUGCAGUGAGGAAUAUUGGUCAAUGGACGAGAGUCUGAACCAGCCAAGUAGCGUGAAGGAUGAAUGCCCUAUGGGUUGUAAACUUCUUUUAUAUGGGAAUAAAAUGUUCCACGUGUGGGAUUUUGUAUGUACCAUAUGAAUAAGGAUCGGCUAACUCCGUGCCAGCAGCCGCGGUAAUACGGAGGAUCCGAGCGUUAUCCGGAUUUAUUGGGGUUAAAGGGAACGUAGGUGGAUUGUUAAGUCAGUUGUGAAAGUCUGCGGCUCAACCGUAAAAUUGCAGUUGAAACUGGCAGUCUUGAGUACAGUAGAGGUGGGCGGAAUUCGUGGUGUAGCGGUGAAAUGCUUAGAUAUCACGAAGAACUCCGAUUGCGAAGGCAGUUCACUGGACUGCAACUGACACUGAGGCUCGAAAGUGUGGGUAUCAAACAGGAUUAGAUACCCCUGUAGUC
RNAcentral lists this ribosomal RNA (460 nucleotides) under uncultured bacterium. RNAcentral's name for it is "partial 16S ribosomal RNA". It matches the Rfam family "Bacterial small subunit ribosomal RNA", at positions 338 to 795 of the family's 1533-position model. The record is from RNAcentral.